UGCUUAACACAUGCAAGUCGAACGAGAACGGAACUAGCUUGCUAGUUUGUCAGCUAAGUGGCGCACGGGUGAGUAAUAUAUAGAUAACAUGCCCUUUAGAGAGGAACAACAGUUGGAAACGACUGCUAAUACCUCAUAUUCCUUUAUUGCAUAUGCAGUAAAGGGAAAUGCUUUAUUGCGCUAAAGGAUUGGUCCGUAUCGUAUCAGCUAGUUGGUGAGGUAAUGGCUCACCAAGGCUAUGACGCGUAACUGGUCUGAGAGGAUGAUCAGUCACACUGGAACUGAGACACGGUCCAGACUCCUACGGGAGGCAGCAGUGGGGAAUAUUGCACAAUGGGGGAAACCCUGAUGCAGCAACGCCGCGUGGAGGAUGACGCAUUUCGGUGUGUAAACUCCUUUUCUGUCGGAAGAUAAUGACGGUAUGACAGGAAUAAGCACCGGCUAACUCCGUGCCAGCAGCCGCGGUAAUACGGAGGGUGCAAGCGUUACUCGGAAUCACUGGGCGUAAAGGACGCGUAGGCGGGUUAUUAAGUCAGAUGUGAAAUCCUACAGCUUAACUGUAGAACUGCAUUUGAAACUGAUAACCUAGAGUUUGGGAGAGGCAGAUGGAACUGGUGGUGUAGGGGUAAAAUCCGUAGAGAUCACCAAGAAUACCGAUGGCGAAGGCGAUCUGCUGGAACAAUACUGACGCUGAGGCGUGAAAGCGUGGGGAGCAAACAGGAUUAGAUACCCUGGUAGUCCACGCCCUAAACGAUGAAUGCUAGUCGUUGUGGUGCUAGUCACUGCAGUGAUGCAGCUAACGCAAUAAGCAUUCCGCCUGGGGAGUACGGUCGCAAGAUUAAAACUCAAAGGAAUAGACGGGGACCCGCACAAGCGGUGGAGCAUGUGGUUUAAUUCGAAGAUACGCGAAGAACCUUACCUGGACUUGACAUCCUGAGAACAUAAUAGAGAUAUAUUGGUGCUAGUUUACUAGAACUCAGUGACAGGUGCUGCACGGCUGUCGUCAGCUCGUGUCGUGAGAUGUUG
Molecule: ribosomal RNA, 1026 nt
Filed under: uncultured Hydrogenimonas sp.
Lineage: Bacteria; Pseudomonadati; Campylobacterota; Epsilonproteobacteria; Campylobacterales; Hydrogenimonadaceae
Description: bacterial SSU rRNA
Rfam family: Bacterial small subunit ribosomal RNA
Source: RNAcentral